UGCUCAUCCUUCCACGUGCAUAUGUGGAGGCAGGGACAGCAGCAACAAGACCUCAAAAAUGAAAAUGAUUAAGACAGAAAUAGUACAAAAAGGAGGAGAUGUGAAGGAGUUGUGAUGUGAAGGUUGAGUAGCAGAUGUAAAGGAAUGGUGGGAAGUACAAGACAUCUUAAAUAGAAAAACCAAAGGUAUGUGUAGUAAGAAACCAGGCACUGAGAUACACUGGAUUCAUCUAUUCUUUGUGACCUGCCAAAAUUAACUGUAUCCUUGAUUGCAAUCAAUUUUAUCCAAUUCAAGGUUGUAGGGGGAUUGAAGCAUAUCACUGCUACCAUAGGCCAGUUAUACAGUUAUACCAGUCUGUCACAGGCUAAAACAGAGACAAACAACCAUUUGCGCUCACUGUCACACCUAUAGGAAAUUUAGAAAGAAAGAACCCAGGACCUUCUGGCUGUGAGACAAUAAUGCUAACCACUACACCACUAAUUUGUUAAAUUUGUUGAGUUCCAGGUAAAUUUUUAGACCUGGUAUCACUUGAUUGGAAAUAAGAACAACCCUACGUUUCUCUUCAGCACUGAAGCCAGGCUGACAGAAAGUCAGAGCUCUGUUGAGCAAAGCGCUCCAUUAACGUUAACUAGUAAUGACUUAAUUGUCAUGGUCCCUGUGCCUCCCCGGCCAGCCCAGUGUGGCCACAAGUGUUUGUUGUUUCUCUCUCUCUCUCUCUCUCUCUCCCCUACCUGUCUGCCUGGGCGGAGCUCUGACUGGGCUCCCGCCCUUGGCCCACGCACCUGCAGCUGAUCUCGAGUGAUUUGCAGUGGAUCUCUGGCUCUUCUUAAGGCUGGGGCUCUGAGCUAUUCGUCGCUGGAAUAUUGAGUAACCUCGGAAUCCCUUUCCCUUGGUGCCCUGGGUGUGCUUAGUUGCUGGUGUGCAGUGUUUCUGGAUUCCCUCGUGUGUGAAGAGCCCCUUUCCCGGAUUCCCCUGUGCCCUGGAUCCCCCUUGCCCUCUCACCUGUAUAUAGUCGCACCUGGUGUCGUGUAUCAAUAAAAGGAACUGUAUUUUA
Long non-coding RNA from Oreochromis niloticus (Nile tilapia), 1054 nucleotides. RefSeq lists it as uncharacterized. NCBI's taxonomy places the organism in Eukaryota, Metazoa, Chordata, Actinopteri, Cichliformes, Cichlidae. The record is from RefSeq and is a predicted model, not a curated record. The transcript has 2 exons.